GAUGAACGCUGGCGGCGUGCUUAACACAUGCAAGUCGAACGGAAAGGCCCAAGCUUGCUUGGGUACUCGAGUGGCGAACGGGUGAGUAACACGUGGGUGAUCUGCCCUGCACUUCGGGAUAAGCCUGGGAAACUGGGUCUAAUACCGGAUAGGACCACAUUUUGGAUGGUGUGGUGGAAAGUUUUUCGGUGUGGGAUGAGCUCGCGGCCUAUCAGCUUGUUGGUGGGGUAAUGGCCUACCAAGGCGUCGACGGGUAGCCGGCCCGAGAGGGUGUACGGCCACAUUGGGACUGAGAUACGGCCCAGACUCCUACGGGAGGCAGCAGUGGGGAAUAUUGCACAAUGGGCGCAAGCCUGAUGCAGCGACGCCGCGUGGGGGAUGACGGCCUUCGGGUUGUAAACUCCUUUCGCUAGGGACGAAGCGUUAUGUGACGGUACCUGGAGAAGAAGCACCGGCUAACUACGUG
RNAcentral lists this ribosomal RNA (466 nucleotides) under uncultured bacterium. RNAcentral describes it as "partial 16S ribosomal RNA". It matches the Rfam family "Bacterial small subunit ribosomal RNA", at positions 28 to 507 of the family's 1533-position model. The record is from RNAcentral.